GACCUCAAGAUUACAGAAGAAG
This 22-nucleotide small nuclear RNA is filed under the name Arabidopsis thaliana (thale cress). Its description in RNAcentral is "snRNA_13208". Lineage: Eukaryota; Viridiplantae; Streptophyta; Magnoliopsida; Brassicales; Brassicaceae. The record is from RNAcentral.